GGCGUAGCUCAGUGGCAGAGCUUCUGCCUUGCAUGCGGAAGGUCCCAGGUUCAAUCCUCACCAUCUCCA
Molecule: non-coding RNA, 69 nt
Organism: Podarcis lilfordi (Lilford's wall lizard)
Lineage: Eukaryota; Metazoa; Chordata; Lepidosauria; Squamata; Lacertidae
Source: the annotation of a GenBank genome assembly